GAUGAACGCUGACAGAAUGCUUAACACAUGCAAGUCAACUUGAACUUCGGUUUGGGUGGCGGACGGGUGAGUAACGCGUAAAGAACUUGCCUCACAGCUAGGGACAACAUUUGGAAACGAAUGCUAAUACCUGAUAUUAUGAUUAUAUGGCAUCGUAUAAUUAUGAAAGCUAUAUGCGCUGUGAGAGAGCUUUGCGUCCCAUUAGCUAGUUGGAGAGGUAACAGCUCACCAAGGCGAUGAUGGGUAGCCGGCCUGAGAGGGUGAUCGGCCACAAGGGGACUGAGACACGGCCCUUACUCCUACGGGAGGCAGCAGUGGGGAAUAUUGGACAAUGGACCGAGAGUCUGAUCCAGCAAUUCUGCGUGCACGAUGAAGUUUUUCGGAAUGUAAAGUGCUUUCAGUUGGGAAGAAAAAAAUGACGGUACCAACAGAAGAAGUGACGGCUAAAUACGUG
This 454-nucleotide ribosomal RNA is filed under the name uncultured bacterium. RNAcentral describes it as "partial 16S ribosomal RNA". It matches the Rfam family "Bacterial small subunit ribosomal RNA", at positions 28 to 507 of the family's 1533-position model. The record is from RNAcentral.